RNAcentral lists this ribosomal RNA (253 nucleotides) under uncultured bacterium. Its description in RNAcentral is "partial 16S ribosomal RNA". It matches the Rfam family "Bacterial small subunit ribosomal RNA", at positions 524 to 776 of the family's 1533-position model. The record is from RNAcentral.
UACGUAGGGGGCAAGCGUUGUCCGGAUUUAUUGGGCGUAAAGAGCGUGUAGGCGGUUAGGUAGGUCCGUUGUGAAAACUCGAGGCUCAACCUCGAGACGCCGAUGGAAACCAUCUGACUAGAGUCCGGAAGAGGAGAGUGGAAUUCCUGGUGUAGCGGUGAAAUGCGCAGAUAUCGGGAAGAACACCCGUGGCGAAGGCGGCUCUCUGGGACGGUACUGACGCUGAGACGCGAAAGCGUGGGGAGCGAACAGG